Molecule: transfer RNA, 99 nt
Filed under: Clostridioides difficile
Lineage: Bacteria; Bacillati; Bacillota; Clostridia; Peptostreptococcales; Peptostreptococcaceae
Description: tRNA-Sec
Rfam family: Selenocysteine transfer RNA
Source: RNAcentral
GGGAGUGGAUGGGUGCCGGUGUGUGCCCUCUAGUCUUCAAAACUAGUAUGAGGGGUUAAGAGCCUCUUAGGUGGGUUCGAUUCCCACGCAUUCCCGCCA